GCUCCGAGAGCGAUAUGCCUUGGACCAAUUUGGUUGCCUGUGUUGUAUACCUACGUUGAUGGAAUUCGCUCGUCCAAUCACCCUUUAUUCACCUUGUGCUGCUUACGCGGUGCGGGAUGAACCAUGCAAUGUCCUUUGUUGUCCGUUCUUGCCCUGCGUUCGCGCGACGCAUGAAAUGGCCAAUGUUGUGACACUCGAAUUCUCGAAUACGGAACCUUAAGCGGGCAACGGGUCUUUGGCCUUGAUUUGCCCAAACUAAGUUCUUAAAAACGACUGUCGUGCCCGUUUUGACCUGAGGAUGCUUUCGGUCCGAC
This 314-nucleotide unclassified non-coding RNA is filed under the name Crepinella spruceana. RNAcentral describes it as "Schefflera spruceana partial may contain external transcribed spacer and 18S ribosomal RNA". Lineage: Eukaryota; Viridiplantae; Streptophyta; Magnoliopsida; Apiales; Araliaceae. The record is from RNAcentral.